This 429-nucleotide ribosomal RNA is filed under the name Daphnia dentifera. Its description in RNAcentral is "partial 12S rRNA". Lineage: Eukaryota; Metazoa; Arthropoda; Branchiopoda; Diplostraca; Daphniidae. The record is from RNAcentral.
UUAAAUUUUUGAAGUUAUCUUAGCUUUUUUGUUGGGUGAAAUCAGUAUAAAGAGUUUCUCUUUCUUUUAAAAUUAAUAGGAAUUAAAAAACUUUGAUUUAAAACCAGGAUUAGAUACCCUGUUAUUCUAAGUUAUAUUUAGACAGGGUAGUAAAAGUUGUUCUUCAAACCCAAAGAUUUUGGCGGCACUUUAUCCAAAUAGAGGAGCUUGUCCCUUAAUCGAUAGUCCCCGUUUUAUCUUUCCUCUGUUUGUAGAGCUUGUAUACCGCCGUUGUCAGAUCACUUUUAGAGAAUGUUUUCAAGUUAAAAGACUUUUUUACUUCAGGUCAAGGUGCAGUUUAUAUAGAGGUGGAGGUGAGCUACAAUUUUCUUUAGAAAUACGGAUUUCAAGCCUCGAAGCUGGUUGAAGGUGGAUUUAUUAGUAAAGUAA